Molecule: ribosomal RNA, 464 nt
Filed under: Vreelandella stevensii
Lineage: Bacteria; Pseudomonadati; Pseudomonadota; Gammaproteobacteria; Oceanospirillales; Halomonadaceae
Description: partial 16S ribosomal RNA
Rfam family: Bacterial small subunit ribosomal RNA
Source: RNAcentral
CCUACGGGUGGCUGCAGUGGGGAAUAUUGGACAAUGGGCGAAAGCCUGAUCCAGCCAUGCCGCGUGUGUGAAGAAGGCCUUCGGGUUGUAAAGCACUUUCAGUGGGGAAGAAAGCCUUGGGGCUAAUACCCUCGAGGAAGGACAUCACCCACAGAAGAAGCACCGGCUAACUCCGUGCCAGCAGCCGCGGUAAUACGGAGGGUGCGAGCGUUAAUCGGAAUUACUGGGCGUAAAGCGCGCGUAGGCGGUCUGAUAAGCCGGUUGUGAAAGCCCCGGGCUCAACCUGGGAACGGCAUCCGGAACUGUCAGGCUAGAGUGCAGGAGAGGAAGGUAGAAUUCCCGGUGUAGCGGUGAAAUGCGUAGAGAUCGGGAGGAAUACCAGUGGCGAAGGCGGCCUUCUGGACUGACACUGACGCUGAGGUGCGAAAGCGUGGGUAGCAAACAGGAUUAGAUACCCUUUAGUC